AUUGAACGCUGGCGGCAUGCCUUACACAUGCAAGUCGAACGGCAGCGGGGGAGAAGCUUGCUUUUCCUGCCGGCGAGUGGCGAACGGGUGAGUAAUACAUCGGAACGUGCCCUGUAGUGGGGGAUAACUAGUCGAAAGAUUAGCUAAUACCGCAUACGACCUGAGGGUGAAAGUGGGGGACCGCGAGGCCUCAUGCUAUAGGAGCGGCCGAUGUCUGAUUAGCUAGUUGGUGGGGUAAAGGCCUACCAAGGCGACGAUCAGUAGCUGGUCUGGGAGGAGGAGCAGCCACACUGGGACUGAGACACGGCCCAGACUCCUACGGGAGGCAGCAGUGGGGAAUUUUCGACAAUGGGCGAAAGCCUGAUCCAGCAAUGCCGCGUGUGUGAAGAAGGCCUUCGGGUUGUAAAGCACUUUUGUCCGGAAAGAAAUGGCUCUGGUUAAUACCUGGGGUCGAUGACGGUACCGGAAGAAUAAGGACCGGCUAACUACGUGCCAGCCGCCGCGGUAA
RNAcentral lists this ribosomal RNA (508 nucleotides) under uncultured bacterium. RNAcentral's name for it is "partial 16S ribosomal RNA". It matches the Rfam family "Bacterial small subunit ribosomal RNA", at positions 30 to 523 of the family's 1533-position model. The record is from RNAcentral.